Dromiciops gliroides (monito del monte) is the source of this 914-nucleotide RNA transcript. RefSeq lists it as uncharacterized. NCBI's taxonomy places the organism in Eukaryota, Metazoa, Chordata, Mammalia, Microbiotheria, Microbiotheriidae. The transcript is spliced from 4 exons. The record is from RefSeq and is a predicted model, not a curated record.
GAUGACAAAGGUGACCCCGGCUCACCAUUUGACCUGCGUCCCUCCCAUGGUCCCCUCCGGGCUCCGGCUUCAGCAAGCCCGCUUGUCCAGGCGGAGUGGGAGGCUGCUUCGGAUCACAUCCCCCCGGCUUGCGGGCAUGUCUCACCCCCGGCCAGGGGCAGGAGGGCGAACUAAUGGGGAUGUGUCCCCCGGUGCAGGGCAGGGGUCUGGAGGACGGAGAGCCGGGGGUCCCAGCCCCCCGUAUUUUCCCGACAGCUCAGACACUGCAGCGGCAGCGGCAACUCGGCCUCGGCGAACGCCGGUUCCCCUCGCAGGCAGCCAGUCCCUAGCGCUGGCAUGUUGGUCCUCGCCGCCGCGAGGCUGUGCGCAUCUCUCGCCUCCCGGGCAUCUCAACCCAUCGCUUCAGAGCUCGAGCCGAGGAAAGCGGCGGCUCCGCGCCGCGCCGCUCUUCGGCCGCCAGUGCCGGCGGAGCUGGCAGGGGCGGCGACGCUGCCGCGCUCCUGCAGACCCCUCCCCUCCCUCCCUCAGCCUCCCGGCACGCGCGCUGCGCUCGCCCCGGGAGGCAGCGGCGAUGGUGGCGGCGGCGGUGCGGGGCUCCCACCCGGCGCGAUCGCAGGUUGACACGGCCGGCGGACUGGAGCGGAGCUCUGUGUGGAGAGCGAGGUGCUUCACCUCUCGGGCAGAUCUUGGCUGGGUACGGCUGCACACUUGGAUGUCUGCAUAAUGCAAGCUGCUGUCCUCUGUCUGAGGGCCUCGACUCUCUUCUCCAGAUCUGGGCAACUCCGACACCAGCUCAUAGGAACUGAACCAGCAGGCUCUACCAAGCUUGAGUCCCAUCUAUCCUGAGUACAAGAAACUGAGCCCCAGACAGUGAUGUCUAAAAGUUACACUGGGAGCAACCUCUUCGUUUUUGC